GAAGUAUGAGAUUCAAGUAAAAGCUGCUAACUUUUUUCUUUAAUGGUUAAACUCCAUUUAUACUUCU
RNAcentral lists this transfer RNA (67 nucleotides) under Symphoromyia crassicornis. RNAcentral's name for it is "tRNA-Ser". The record is from RNAcentral. Lineage: Eukaryota; Metazoa; Arthropoda; Insecta; Diptera; Rhagionidae.